GCGAGUUUUAACUGAGCGUUCAGUUACUUGACGUAGACCCGAAACCGGGCGACCUACCCAUGAGCAGGAUGAAGCGAAAGUAAAAUUUCGUGGAGGUCCGAACCCACGAGCGUUGAAAAGCUCGGGGAUGACUUGUGGGUAGCGGUGAAAUUCCAAUCGAGCCCGGAGAUAGCUGGUUCUCCCCGAAAUAGCUUUAGGGCUAGCCUCAAGGUGAGAGAUACGGAGGUAGAGCACUGAAUGUCCUAGGGGGUAUUGCACCUACCGAAGACUAUCAAACUCCGAAUGCCGUCAUCUUAUACUUGGGAGUCAGACUGUGGGUGAUAAGAUUCAUAGUCGAAAGGGCAACAGCCCAGAUCGUCAGCUAAGGUCCCUAAAUGUAAGUUAAGUGGUAAAGGAUGUGGGAUUGCACAGACAACCAGGAUGUUGGCUUAGAAGCAGCCACUCAUUCAAAGAGUGCGUAAUAGCUCACUGGUCGAGUGAUCCUGCGCCGAAGAUUUCCGGGGCUAAAACUUACUACCGAAGCUACGGCAUCAGUAAUGAUGGGUAGGGGAGCUUCCCAUACGGGUUGAAGCAUGACCGUAAGGACAUGUGGACAGUAUGGGAGUGAGAAUGUUGGCAUGAGUAGCGAGAUGUGGGUGAGAAUCCCACAGGCCGUAAACCCAAGGUUUCCAGGGGAAGGUUCGUCCGCCCUGGGUUAGUCGGGACCUAAGCUGAGGCCGAAAGGCGUAGGUGAUGGACAACAGGUUGAUAUUCCUGUAC
Molecule: ribosomal RNA, 759 nt
Filed under: Clostridioides difficile
Lineage: Bacteria; Bacillati; Bacillota; Clostridia; Peptostreptococcales; Peptostreptococcaceae
Description: partial 23S ribosomal RNA
Rfam family: Bacterial large subunit ribosomal RNA
Source: RNAcentral